Molecule: ribosomal RNA, 254 nt
Filed under: uncultured bacterium
Lineage: Bacteria
Description: partial 16S ribosomal RNA
Rfam family: Bacterial small subunit ribosomal RNA
Source: RNAcentral
UACGUAGGGGGCAAGCGUUGUCCGGAAUCAUUGGGCGUAAAGAGCUCGUAGGCGGCUCAAUAAGUCGGGUGUGAAACCCCCAGGCUCAACCUGGGGACGCCACCCGAUACUGUUGUGGCUAGAGUCCAGUAGGGGAGUGUGGAAUUCCCGGUGUAGCGGUGAAAUGCGCAGAUAUCGGGAGGAACACCAGCGGCGAAGGCGGCACUCUGGGCUGGUACUGACGCUGAGGAGCGAAAGCCAGGGUAGCGAACCGG